ACGCUCGACACCUACGGGAGCAGCAGUGGGGAAUAUUGCACAAUGGGGGAAACCCUGAUGCAGCGACGCCGCGUGAGUGAAGAAGUAUUUCGGUAUGUAAAGCUCUAUCAGCAGGGAAGAAAAUGACGGUACCUGACUAAGAAGCCCCGGCUAACUACGUGGCAGCAGCCGCGGUAAUCUGAGCGGGCUGGCAAGGC
Molecule: ribosomal RNA, 197 nt
Filed under: uncultured bacterium
Lineage: Bacteria
Description: partial 16S ribosomal RNA
Rfam family: Bacterial small subunit ribosomal RNA
Source: RNAcentral